Ornithorhynchus anatinus (platypus) is the source of this 138-nucleotide small nucleolar RNA. Lineage: Eukaryota; Metazoa; Chordata; Mammalia; Monotremata; Ornithorhynchidae. The record is from RefSeq and is a predicted model, not a curated record.
CCCCUCUCAGGGUCACAUUUGAAGAGUUUCCAGUACUCUACCAGCCACGACCAAGGGAGGGAGAGUCAAGCAGAGACAUACCCGUUCCAUUCUGAGCUUGGCCAGUGGCUAGUGAGUGGAAGGCAAUCUGCUACAAGU